Molecule: long non-coding RNA, 270 nt
Filed under: Brachypodium distachyon (stiff brome)
Lineage: Eukaryota; Viridiplantae; Streptophyta; Magnoliopsida; Poales; Poaceae
Description: long non-coding RNA (BDIS_LNC000495)
Source: RNAcentral
CAAAAAACCUCAUCUUCUUCAUGCAUGCAUGCACUCAAGAGGCUAUAAAGAAGGCCUAGGACCUAUAAAGAAGAUGCAUCAUGACCAAGAAGAAAAGAGAGGUAAAUAAUGCAUGAGAGCACUAUUUGAGCCAGCCAUAUUGCCUAUAAAAGGAGCCUCUUGCUGCAACGGAGGACACACAACAUCGCUGAGAACACAAGCCUUCAGUAGCAGAGAGAGUGAGCAGCUAGCGAGCAAACUAUCUGCUCUCUAGUAGUAGUAGUAGUAGUA